Molecule: transfer RNA, 74 nt
Filed under: Bacillota bacterium
Lineage: Bacteria; Bacillati; Bacillota
Also listed under: 2 other names
Description: tRNA-Gln
Rfam family: tRNA
About the family: Transfer RNA (tRNA) molecules are approximately 80 nucleotides in length. Their secondary structure includes four short double-helical elements and three loops (D, anti-codon, and T loops).
Source: RNAcentral
UCCCGGUUUGUGUAAUGGUAGCACAACUGACUCUGGAUCAGUUUGUCGAGGUUCAAAUCCUUGACCGGGAGCCA